GAUGAACGCUGGCGGCGUGCCUAAUACAUGCAAGUCGAGCGAACAGACGAGGCGCUUGCUGCUCUGUCGUUAGCGGAGGGCGGGUGAGAAACACGUGGAUAACCUACCUAUAUGACUGGGAUAACUUCGGGACACCGGAGAUAAUACCGGAUGAUAUAUUGAAGCGCGUGGGUGAAUAGUGAAAGACGGUUGUGCUGUCACUUAUCGAUGGUUCCGCGCCGCAUUAGCUGGUUGUUGAGGUAAUGGCUUACCAAGGCGACGAUGCGUAGCCGAGCGGAGGGAGGGAUCGGCCACACGAGAGGUGGAACGGGGCCCAUGCGCCUACGGUACGGAGCAGUAGGGAACCUUCCGCAAUGGGCGAAAGCCUUACGCAGCAACGGCGCGUGAGUUGUGACGGUCUCCGGAUCGUAAAACUCUGUUUUUAGGUAAGAACAAAUGUGGAAGUAACUAUGCACGUCUUGACGGUACCUGAUCAAAAAGCCACGGCUAACUACGUG
RNAcentral lists this ribosomal RNA (497 nucleotides) under uncultured bacterium. RNAcentral describes it as "partial 16S ribosomal RNA". It matches the Rfam family "Bacterial small subunit ribosomal RNA", at positions 28 to 507 of the family's 1533-position model. The record is from RNAcentral.